Molecule: long non-coding RNA, 1073 nt
Organism: Cercocebus atys (sooty mangabey)
Lineage: Eukaryota; Metazoa; Chordata; Mammalia; Primates; Cercopithecidae
Exons: 3
Source: RefSeq, a predicted model, not a curated record
CCCGCUUAACCUCCCAAGUAGCUGGGACAACAGUUUUGUCAAUUAUGAAUGAAGCGGCUGUAAUCUGUGCUCAAGAUUUUGUGUAUACAUGCAUUUCCAACUCAUUUGGAUAGACACAAAGGAGUGCAAUUGCUGAAUCAUAUGCCAAAUGAAAGUUGGCCUGGAGUAAUCAGAAGACUUGUCUUGGCUGGAUGUACAAGGCGCUCACUGACAUAUACAGAUCUAAAGUUGAGCUCACCUGGGGCUGCCAGAGGUCUUCAACCAUAGCCUCUCCACGUAAUUUAAGCUCCUUAUAUCAUGUGACUAAAUUCUGAGACAGAGGAAUAAAGAAGAGAGAAAGGAAGAGCAAGAGAGAGAAAGGGAGUUCCGAGUGUCCAUUCCAAGAAAUCGAGGUGGAAACUGCAAGGCUUCUUAUACCAGAGCAUUACUUCUUGUACCAGAACAUUACUUCCAGUGUAUUCUAUCUGUAAAGCAACUUACAUUUAGUUCACAUCUUGAUGUGAGAAAUAGCAUUGUGUACAGGGAAAAAGAACUUGAUAGCUAUUUUUGUAGACUAACUGAUAAAGAUGUUUCUGGGCUGAGUUAAUAAUGCUAUGCUGGCUAUUUAUUUCUGAUUUUCUAGUUCUUUCAUUUCUUCAAUAUUUAUUAGUUAGCAUUUGUGUUAGUUGGGGUUCCCUAGAGAAGCAGAACCAAUAGGAUAUAUCUAUAUCUAUACCUAUGUCCCAUACAGAUACACACACACACACACACACACACACACAUAUCCAAUCCACACACGCAUGUACAUUCAAUCUGUUGAUAGCCUGACUAGAACAAUAGGCAAAGGCAAGGGGAAAUUUGUAUCUCUACCUGACUGCUUCAGCUGAAAUAUCAGUCUUUUCCUGCCCUACGCUGGAACCAACAUCAUGAGCCCUCUGGUUCCCAAAACUGUAACACUAACUUUCCUCUUUCCUGGGUCUCCAGCUUUCAGAUGGUGGAAUCAUGAGACUUCUCAGCCCCCUUAACCAUGUGAGCCAAUGCCUUUUAACAAAUAUCCUACAAACAUAUAUAUAAAUAUAUACAUACAAAUAUAA